RNAcentral lists this ribosomal RNA (253 nucleotides) under uncultured bacterium. RNAcentral's name for it is "partial 16S ribosomal RNA". It matches the Rfam family "Bacterial small subunit ribosomal RNA", at positions 524 to 776 of the family's 1533-position model. The record is from RNAcentral.
UACGUAGGGUCCGAGCGUUGUCCGGAAUUACUGGGCGUAAAGAGCUCGUAGGUGGUUUGUCGCGUUGUUCGUGAAAACUCACAGCUCAACUGUGGGCGUGCGGGCGAUACGGGCAGACUGGAGUACUGCAGGGGAGACUGGAAUUCCUGGUGUAGCGGUGGAAUGCGCAGAUAUCAGGAGGAACACCGGUGGCGAAGGCGGAUCUCUGGGCCUUACCUGACGCUGAGGCGCGAAAGCUAGGGGAGCGAACAGG